GUUCGUCAUUUACAGUAAGUCAAAAAAAAAUCUCAGUACAGCAAAAAAUAUUUUUGUAUUUUCUGAAUACAUUCUAUACUUUGAAGCACAUGGAUUUAAAUAUAUAUAUGCGAAUUUAGAACAGUUAAAAUUAAAAGCAUGAGUUUUCAAAAUCCGUUCACCAACGAUCACAUUCAGAUCUGCGUAUCGUCAUUAAAGUAGCCAAUCCCGAAAUAAACGCAGCAAUCAACAAGAAGAAAACACUUUUGUGACAAGAGACAAAAAAAUGUUCAACUAACUGUAAUAAAAUUGGGUAUAAUGUCAAUGCAACUUACUUGCUAUUAAUAUAAACCGGGUAACCCAUAAAAUCCUUCACAUCCAUUACGUUGACAGAUUCAACUGGCCAGCUCGAAUAGGUGUUAGUUAAAUUCAUCGACGUACCAGAUACGACCGAAAUCUAAGUGACCACGUUCGAUCCAAAAAGAAACACCGAACCUCUAAAUAUCAGUAAAUAUCAAACAUUGGUCUAGAGACGACUCCACGCUUUAGAUUAGGUACCAGGAGUCUCAUGGAAAGCCACCGCCUUUUUUCUUCAUAUUUAAGCCAUUUUCGAUAUUAUCAACGCCUUAAAAACAUGAAGUGUCGACUUUGACUAUCACCAAAAGAAAGACAGUUUGUUUUUAGAAGUAGGGUAAAUCGCAAAAAAGAAUUAGUCCAAAAAGAUUGGAUCACUAUUUCCCUCUCAAAUCGAGCCAAUCGACAAAAAAAAAAAACACUCCAGCCAAGAAGUUAUUCGAAUCAAAAAGGUUCGAUCUAAAAAGAAAACCUGACUCACCUUGACUCACAAUACUAAGACUUGG
Long non-coding RNA from Episyrphus balteatus (marmalade hoverfly), 839 nucleotides. RefSeq lists it as uncharacterized. The transcript has 2 exons. NCBI's taxonomy places the organism in Eukaryota, Metazoa, Arthropoda, Insecta, Diptera, Syrphidae. The record is from RefSeq and is a predicted model, not a curated record.